Molecule: unclassified non-coding RNA, 228 nt
Filed under: Hevea brasiliensis (rubber tree)
Lineage: Eukaryota; Viridiplantae; Streptophyta; Magnoliopsida; Malpighiales; Euphorbiaceae
Source: RNAcentral
GAAGACAUCAAUAAACUGGGAUCUCCUUAGAUAGUAAAUGAACUGUGGGAAAAGGGAUAAAUUAGUUGCAAGACGGAAUGAUGAGGGGUCUUCCGGGAUGUAAUCUCCAAACUUUGAAGCAAAACGUAUCAAACGCUUAUCUAGCCACCGGACAACAUCUUGAGAAAAAUUGCUCUCUGCUCUAUCAAUGGCAAGCCUAGCCAUCACUGAAGCUGCUGCUUCCUGAUC